RNAcentral lists this ribosomal RNA (253 nucleotides) under uncultured prokaryote. RNAcentral describes it as "partial 16S ribosomal RNA". It matches the Rfam family "Bacterial small subunit ribosomal RNA", at positions 525 to 777 of the family's 1533-position model. The record is from RNAcentral.
ACGAAGGUGGCAAGCGUUGUCCGGAUUUAUUGGGCGUAAAGGGCGUGUAGGCGGUCUGCUAAGUCAGAGGUGAAAAUCCAGGGCUCAACCCUGGAACUGCCUCUGAAACUGGUGGACUUGAGUGCUCUAGAGGGCAGUGGAAUUCCCGGUGUAGCAGUGAAAUGCGUAGAGAUCGGGAGGAACACCAGUGGCGAAGGCGACUGUCUGGUUGGAUACUGACGCUGAGACGCGAAAGCGUGGGGAGCAAACAGGA